Molecule: ribosomal RNA, 468 nt
Filed under: uncultured bacterium
Lineage: Bacteria
Description: partial 16S ribosomal RNA
Rfam family: Bacterial small subunit ribosomal RNA
Source: RNAcentral
GAUGAACGCUGGCGGCGUGCCUAACACAUGCAAGUCGAGCGAUUUACUUCGGUAAAGAGCGGCGGACGGGUGAGUAACGCGUGGGUAACCUGCCCUGUACACACGGAUAACAUACCGAAAGGUAUGCUAAUACGAGAUAAUAUGCUUUUAUCGCAUGGUAGAAGUAUCAAAGCUUUUGCGGUACAGGAUGGACCCGCGUCUGAUUAGCUAGUUGGUAAGGUAACGGCUUACCAAGGCGACGAUCAGUAGCCGACCUGAGAGGGUGAUCGGCCCAAUUGGAACUGAGACACGUUCCACACUCCGACGGGAGGCAGCAGUGGGUAAUAUUGCACAAUGGGCGAAAGCCUGAUGCAGCAACUCCGCGUGAGCUAUGAAGGCCUUCGGGACGUAAAGCUCUGUCCUCAAUGAAGAUAAUGACGGUACUUGAGGAGGAAGCCCCGGCUAACUACGUGCCAGCAGCCGCCGUAA